This 492-nucleotide ribosomal RNA is filed under the name uncultured bacterium. Its description in RNAcentral is "partial 16S ribosomal RNA". It matches the Rfam family "Bacterial small subunit ribosomal RNA", at positions 28 to 507 of the family's 1533-position model. The record is from RNAcentral.
GAUGAACGCUACCUCCAGGCUUAACACAUGCAAGUCGAGGGGAAACGGCAUUGAGUGCUUGCACUCUUUGGACGUCGACCGGCGCACGGGUGAGUAACGCGUAUCCAACCUUCCCAUUACUGUGGGAUAACCUGCCGAAAGGCAGACUAAUACCGCAUAGUCUUCGAUGACGGCAUCAGAUUUGAAGUAAAGAUUUAUCGGUAAUGGAUGGGGAUGCGUCUGAUUAGCUUGUUGGCGGGGUAACGGCCCACCAAGGCUACGAUCAGUAGGGGUUCUGAGAGGAAGGUCCCCCACAUUGGAACUGAGACACGGUCCAAACUCCUACGGGAGGCAGCAGUGAGGAAUAUUGGUCAAUGGACGGAAGUCUGAACCAGCCAAGUAGCGUGCAGGAUGACGGCCCUAUGGGUUGUAAACUGCUUUUGUAUGGGGAUAAAGUUAGGGACGUGUCCCUAUUUGCAGGUACCAUACGAAUAAGGACCGGCUAAGUCCGUG